RNAcentral lists this long non-coding RNA (306 nucleotides) under Triticum aestivum (bread wheat). Its description in RNAcentral is "long non-coding RNA (TAES_LNC013526)". Lineage: Eukaryota; Viridiplantae; Streptophyta; Magnoliopsida; Poales; Poaceae. The record is from RNAcentral.
UGCUGCAAGUUUGGCAAAUAGACACCGUACCCGUUUUUCUGUGUAAACAUAGUUAGCACCUCUGUUUUUGAAGUAGUUCCUUACUUACCUCUGUUUUUGAAGUAGUUCCUUACUUACCUCUGUGUAAACUGAAUUUGGUUCAGUUAAAAAACUGCACUACCUGACAGUUUUGGGCAGCGAGCUUCUAACUGAAAAACGAGUUCGUUAUGCUCAUAAUUUCAAGUUGGCCUCUACAUAUGAGUUGUAAAGCAUGUUCUAAGGUUUCCGUAGAGUACUUAUUUGCUUUGUUUGGAUGUACGGUUUGAG